Molecule: long non-coding RNA, 1254 nt
Filed under: Papio anubis (olive baboon)
Lineage: Eukaryota; Metazoa; Chordata; Mammalia; Primates; Cercopithecidae
Description: lncRNA (ENSPANG00000048352.1)
Source: RNAcentral
UAUUGCCCAGACUGGUCUCAAACUCCUGACCUCAGGUGAUCCACCCACCUCAGCCUCCCAAAGUGCUGGCAUUACAGACAUGAGCCACCGUGCCAAGCCAACUUUGUAUAUAGCAUUAUAACCAUCACUUUGAGAUCCAGUGCCUGAAAUAAGAGAGAGAGAGGGAAAAAAAACCCUUUACCUUUCUGUCUGGUUUGUUAACUGUUUGAUUCUUCACCUCAGGAUAGAUUUGCAGUCCAGCAGCGUAAUUGGAAUUGAUACUAUGUUACAAAGUCAGUGCCAAAUUGCCACCUGUGUUUUUCCUGCAGGUUUUGCCACUUGGAAAAAAAUGACUUAAGUACUGGGAGAUAGACUCUUCUAACACCAUAUGGCUGCUAUAACAGAACACCAACAACAGACAUUUAUUUCUCACAAUUAUGGAUGCUGGGAAAUCCAGGAUAAAGUCACCAGCAGAUCCAUUAUCUGGUACUAAUCCCACUCAUGAGGGCACCAUCCCCUUGACCCAAUUACCUCCCAGAGGCACCACCUCCAAAUAUCAUCAUAAUGGGGAUUUAAGCUUCAAAAUAUAAGUUUUGGGAUGACGAACAUUGGAGGACUAUUUUUUGAAAAAAAAAAACUAUCGUUUCUUUAUUGAAGUAUUUUGGCAACUUUGUCAAAAAUUAAUUGACCAAUAUAUUGGAGCAUGCUUCUGAAUGCUAUUUUCUGCUCCAUUUAUCUAUAUGUCUAGCUUGAAGCCAACACUAUACUCUCUUGAUCACUAUGAGCCCACUAACUGUCUAGUGUAGGUUUUUUGUUUUUCCAUGUAACAUAUAGAGUCAGCUUUUAAUUUCUACAAAAGAAUUGUGCUAAGAUUUUAUUAGAAUUGUCUUAAAUCUGCAGAUUAAUUUUGGGGACAUUGGCAUCUUAAUGAUACGUCUUCUAAUGCAUGAACAUGAUAUAUCUCCUCAUUUAUGUUUUCUUUAAUUUUUCUCAACAAUGUUUUCUACUUUUUGGCAUCAAACUUGUAUAUAUUUAAUUAAAUUUUCUCUAAAUUUUUAACCUUUUUAGGCUAUUGUAAAUGAUGUUAAUUUUUAUUUGUUUGUUUCUACCAUAUGGGAUAGAAUUAAGUUUUGUAUAGUGACCUUCUAUCCUUUGCUUUGCUAAACUCACUUCCUAGUUCUUGUACAUUUUUAAGAAACUGUUCAGGAUUUUCUACACUGAUGAUCAUGUCAUAUCUUUAUGGACUAAUCAUGUUUAUUUUUUCUGAAACAUCUG